This 72-nucleotide transfer RNA is filed under the name bacterium. RNAcentral describes it as "tRNA-Lys". It matches the Rfam family "tRNA". From Rfam's summary of the family: Transfer RNA (tRNA) molecules are approximately 80 nucleotides in length. Their secondary structure includes four short double-helical elements and three loops (D, anti-codon, and T loops). Further hydrogen bonds mediate the characteristic L-shaped molecular structure. tRNAs have two regions of fundamental functional importance: the anti-codon, which is responsible for specific mRNA codon recognition, and the 3' end, to which the tRNAs corresponding amino acid is attached (by aminoacyl-tRNA synthetases). tRNAs cope with the degeneracy of the genetic code in two manners: having more than one tRNA (with a specific anti-codon) for a particular amino acid; and 'wobble' base-pairing, i.e. permitting non-standard base-pairing at the 3rd anti-codon position. The record is from RNAcentral. RNAcentral also lists the same sequence under 2 other names.
GGGCCUGUAGCUCAAUGGUAGAGCGGUACCCUCUUAAGGUAAUGGUUGAAGGUUCGAGUCCUUCCAGGCUCA